AAACGAUUGAUGCAUUGGCACAAUUUACAUCUGGGCUCCAUCUUGCAUCUGGCUUACCUGAUAAAAGAAAAAAAAAAAAAAAGCUCUUUGAUUGAAAUAUAUCAUAAGUGCACAGCUGUUAUGCACAAAACAUGCUCAUUAAUUUCCUUAUGCCUACAGCCCAUUAGUAGAAUGGCUGCAAUAUCCACAGAUGCUGCAUUCAGCUUUUUAACCCCAUUCCUUGUAAUGGGUUCCCAG
Molecule: non-coding RNA, 237 nt
Organism: Pelobates cultripes (western spadefoot toad)
Lineage: Eukaryota; Metazoa; Chordata; Amphibia; Anura; Pelobatidae
Source: the annotation of a GenBank genome assembly